AAUAUAUUUUAUUUUGGUUUAAAAUUUUAUUAUUAUUUUGUUUUACAUGUAAAUUUUUGUGAGAAUUAAGUUUAAUCUAAAUGAUUAAAUAUUAUUUAUUUUAUUCGCAGUAAUUAAUAUUAAUUAUAAAAGAAAUUUUGAAUUAGUAAUAAUAUAUAAUAUUGGUAAAAUUUGUGCCAGCUMCCGCGGUUAUACAAAUAAUGUAAAUAAAAUUUUUUAGUAUUAGUUAAAUUGAUUAUUUUAAUUUAAAUAUAAAUUUAUUAGGUGAAAUUUUUAAAUUUAUUUAUAAUUAAUUAUUAAUAAAUUUAAGCUAUAAAAUUUUUGUAAUAAACUAGGAUUAGAUACCCUAUUAUUAAAAAUAAAUAAAAAUAUAUUAAAGUAGUAUUAGUUAUAUUCUUAAAAUUUAAAAAAUUUGGCGGUGUUUUAGUCUAUUUAGAGGAACCUGUUCUGUAAUUGAUAAUCCACGUUGGACCUUACUUAAAUUUGUUUUCAAUUUGUAUAUCGUUGUCAUCAGAAUAUAUUAUAAGAUAAAUAAUUUUCUUAAUAUUAUAAUAAAUAAUAUGUCAAAUCAAGGUGCAGUUUAUGUUUAAGUAGAAAUGGGUUACAAUAAAUUUAUUUAUAUGGAUAAUUUGUUUGAAAAAAUAAUUUGAAAGUGGAUUUAAUAGUAAUUUAAAAUAGAUAAUUUAUUUGAUUAUAGCUCUAAAACAUGCACACAUCGCCCGUCGCUCUCAAUUUUAAGAUGAGAUAAGUCGUAACAUAGUAGAUGUACUGGAAAGUGUAUCUAGAUUGA
RNAcentral lists this non-coding RNA (790 nucleotides) under Chagasia sp. 1 SJ-2020. Lineage: Eukaryota; Metazoa; Arthropoda; Insecta; Diptera; Culicidae. The record is from RNAcentral.